GCGCUGUCUUGUGCAAUUAUCUCAUUCGUAAUGAGGGGGUCGGGGGUUCGAAUCCCUCUUGCGCACCA
RNAcentral lists this transfer RNA (68 nucleotides) under Methylocella tundrae. RNAcentral's name for it is "tRNA-Thr". The stretch from base 10 to 66 matches the Rfam family "tRNA". Rfam says of the family: Transfer RNA (tRNA) molecules are approximately 80 nucleotides in length. Their secondary structure includes four short double-helical elements and three loops (D, anti-codon, and T loops). Lineage: Bacteria; Pseudomonadati; Pseudomonadota; Alphaproteobacteria; Hyphomicrobiales; Beijerinckiaceae. The record is from RNAcentral.